UCAGCGGGGUGUGGAGGCGGGCAGGGAGGAGGAGUAAAGGCUGUUUACAAACUUGACGCACGCACCCAGCCCUAUCCUAUCCGUAAGGUUCUGGAAUUUGAGGGUCACAGUUUUGGGAUCUGGAGUGCUCGGAUGCCCAGCCUGGCUAUAACCUUUUAAAGAACGUCUUCAGGCUUCCUUCGCUCCCCACCCAACACCUCCAUGGAGAGGUGGAGCUGGAUGCGACAUCCCGACGGGAACUACGGACCCGUGGGCAGAAGCGUGCAGAAGAGGCAGCCGAGUGUCUCGGGGGACAGCAUGAACGGAGUCCCCCACUACCACAAAUUUGGCAUUUGAGUUUCCCACAUUUGGAGAAAUCACAGGGGUCAGCGCAUCCAGGGUGCAACUGAUAAGCCUCACCCUGGGAAAACUGCCUUUGUGAUCAUGGUAUUUCCCCUGCCCGAGUCAUAAAGAGGCACACACAAUGGAAUGAUACCUACAGCCUGCAUACUCACAUACCGGACUAUCAGGAACACUUUGCAUCAUCAGUAAUUGUUUGUUUACCAAUUCAUUUAGAAUAGUUGUAUUUUAUUCAACAUUUGAUUUAAAUGAAUUGUCAUGAAACAUCGUUUUUUAAAUAGUUGAACUGUUUUCAGAAAAAAAUAUUGCCAUGUGUCACUUAAGAGAAUGGGCUUGAGUGUGGGUUUGAGUGCGUUUUUCUGCCACUUUCUGGCUGUAUAACCUUGAGCUAGGGACUUAAUUAUGUUAUCUCAUCAGUAAAAUGAAAUGAUAAUGGUAUCUACUUCACAGAUCUCUUGCUAGAAGCUAAUGAGAUGCUUCCAUGAAGUACCUGGCAUGGCACCUACCACACAGGAAAUCCUCCAUACACUUUAGCUACAAUUAUUAGGAUCAAAAACACAAAUAUAGAAAGAUGUCACAUUUAAAAAACACCUGCAAUCCUACUAUCCAGAGAUAAUUGAUGCUAACUGUGUCAUAUUACACAUGUGCUCCUGUAACCAGUAUAUCACAGGUAUCUUUUCCUGCCAAGUAGAAUUGCUUUAUCAUCUAUAUCAUCUUUUUUAAUGACUGCAGAGUAUUCCACUGAUGCAAAUAUGCUAGGAUAUAUUCUCGAUGGAGAGGAAAAUAAAAUUAAGCCUAGCGGAACACAAGUCUUGGGUUUAUGCCUGGCCAGAUCCGCACUGUGCACAUUUUGUAACGCGCCAGCUAGGAAUAAUCCCACCACAAACUUGACUGCACAAAGGCAGGAAGGAUUUGAGAACUGUGUCCCAAUUUCCAAAUCAGAGCUGACCUGGAUGGUUCCAGGAACGUCACCUUUCACCAGUAUCAUCUGCUAUUGGCACUCAGAAGAAUGAAAAUGGGAAACAGAUUCCCCUGGUUGCUUCUGCUGCCUUGGCAAGCAGGGGACUCCAAGAGGGUCACGGGGCUUUGGCUGGGCAGGGAGGCCCGCAAGCUCCACAGAGAUGUGUAGCCUGCUGGGGGCAGGUGGGGGGCGGCCUGUUCACACUGGAUCCCAGACCAAACCUUCUCCUUUAUCCCUGCCGCCUUAAAAAGAAAUCUGAUUGUGUCACACAAGAAGUUUCUUUUCCUCGCUCUUUGUCCCUCUCUCUCCUUUCCUUCUAGCUUCCCUUCCACUUCUUUCCUUUCUUGCUUUCCGUCCUUCCUUUCUUUUAUCUUCCCUUCCCCCUUUCUCUCUUUCCUUCUCUUCUUUCUGCCUUCCAACUUCCACCACAAAGUACUUGGGGAGGAAAGUUUCACAAAGAUAUAAAUCCCUUAUUUUCAGAGCCAGAAGGAUUUUAUUUUUUUUGGCCAAAGAUUUAUUUGCAGCUUAAAGAACUAGUGAAAUAGGUGGGCCAAAGGCCUCUUUCUUAUUCAGGCAAAACGUGCACAGAAAGCACUCAAACAGCCAGGCUUCACGAUGACCUUGGCAAAUAUCCUUUCAGAAAAAUGAGGACUGGAGUUUGGUUCCUGCCUAUGCCCAUGCCUCGCUGGCACUCUGCCCCAGCCCUGCGAGGGGGAGAGCCCACUCUUACCAUGGAAGGAAAGGAAACAGAGCUGAAGAGAAGGGUGUGUGAACCCCCAGCUGUGUGUCAUCUGCCAAUCUGACAUCUAGCAGUUCUACAUUCUCUUCAGUCACUAAUCAAGAUAUUGCAUAAGUUAAGGGCCUUCAAUCAAAGCUGUCAUUUCAGUCCUAUUAAUUUUAUCAAGAAAGCACAAGCUCACAACUCUAUUUACUGUGUCUUCAAAAAUAUGACAGCCUCUCCAAUCCUCCAUUUCUCCAUCUCUAAAAAUGGGAGUAACAAUGGCACCCAUAUGACAAGGUUUUGUAUAAAAAGGCUUAGGACAGUACCUUGCUCAGGCAAUUUGUGGCCUUUGGUAAUUAUUAUGAAUAAUUCACUUAGCUGUGAAUCUGACACAUCGAAUUAUCAUUUGGUCCACACUUUCCAUGAAGAAAAGCACCCAUCUGUUUAUCAACCGCUCUUGCUGGAAUUGAAAUGUGUGAUGUCUGGAAUAUUUUAUUGAUCUACCAAAAAUAAAGUACUGAAAAGGGAAUAAAGUUAGGCCAACAUGAUUUGAAUGUCUGCAGGCAUCCAACCAUCUCUGGCUGAGCUCUCUUCCUAAAUGUCUGUAAAGGGUGUGUUUAAUAAUCAGGUUCAGAAUGCUAGAUGAUUGCCUUCUAGUUUUUAGAAUCCACAUUUUUCUCAUUUUUGAAAACUGGAAUAAUAUAUUCCCUGUCUCCAAUCCCCUGGCCUUGCUCCCAUUCUCUGAUUUCUCUAAGAUUGCUGACAGUGGUUUUGUAAUCACAUCUGCAAGUCCCUUCUAUUAUAUUCUAGAAUUUAAUCCAACUUGAACUCAUUAAGUAUCUAGCUCCCCUUUUAUUAUUUCUUGUGCUUUCUCAGGCUUCAAUUUUCUCUUUAAAAGCACAUCUCUUUUAAAUAUAAAUAUAUAAACAUGCUUCUUGUCCCCAUGCGAUAAGCCUAUCCAAGUAAAAUGUAUGUCCUUGGCUGAAAGUUUCAGGCGUAUGGUUAAGCAAAAGAUGAGACCAGAAAUCAUCAGUAAUCCCAGCAUGAAGAGAUAAUAAUGGUGCUUCCUGAUUUAACACCUUCUAGUAUUUUUCUGUGUAGAAUUAGAUAUGCAUGCUGGUGGGUAAAUAAACCAUGAAGAUUCCUCCACAUAAUUCUUUUCCUGUAACCUUCUUUUUAAUGUUAACAUAGGCCUUCAGCGUAGCAAUGGGAGAUAAAUUUUACUGAGCUCAGCCCCUUUGAGCAUUUUGGCUUUUUGGCUAUUUGCAAUGUUAUCAAUGUUACAGUCACUGCUUUGGUGAGAGGAUUACAUACUCAGUACAUAGUUGCUGAUGUCCUUAACUGAAGAGGCUCCAUAGGCAUGAGAAUUAGACUGCAGAGUUAGAGGUAUCGUGUCCUGGUGUCUCUUGUUCCCAUGCUCUAAGGCUGACCUUGGACAAAUCACCCCACUCCUCAGGGACUCCGUUUUACUUUUGAGAAUUCUCUCCUGUUAAAGGGGGGUGACAGACAGUGACUCCCAGAGUGGACUUUGGUGAAGGUGAAAUGUGACCUUGAAUAUAAUGCUGCUGGCACCGUGCUUGGCCCUUCCAAACACGGAAGCUAUUGUUGUUAAUAUUAUUUUUGUUAAAAGCUCCUGUUUGGUUCAAGGUCUAUGUACUUCAAAAGUAAAGAUGCUGUUAGAGGCCGGUGAUUCCUUAGCUUAGGGAUUUGCCUUUUGAGCUCAGAGCAAAGUGAGUGGAAUCUGAUAGUGUGCUGUAAAGGACACCACCCUGAGGUCUCCGGCAGGGACACUCAUUUCAUAUAUGCAGUCAGUUGUGCUGUGGUGGACUAUAUAUGUUCCUAAAAAUUACCGUGCUAUGCAGAGUAGUGCAAUAAAUACCACAGGGCUCAUGGGAAAUGGAGUUAUGGCAGUGGCUCUCAAUCACUCACAACAUCUCAAAAUCUCAUGUAAUUGUGCCCCUCUCCCCAGGGGAUAUUUGCAAAGCGUACAGAUAUUUUUAGUUGUUACACUAAUGGAUAGUGGGGAGGUAUCUAAAGAGGAGGCAGUGGGCAGAGGCCAGGGUUGUUGCUAAAUAUCGUACAAUGCACACGGUGUUCCCCACAGCACGGAAUUAUCCUGCCUCAAGUGCCAAUCGGGCCACAGUUGAGAAACCGUCAGCUAGGGAUACAACAUUCAAACACUUGUCAGUGACACAUUAAAGAAAAAGAACAGGAAUUGAAUGGGAGUAGUAAUGAGAGAUGAAUUUUACUGAGCUCAGUAACAUUUAACAAUGUUAAAUGGUUAAGAAACACACAAAUACCACACACACAAAAAGACUUGUUAUUGUACCUUAAAAAAGACCUGGUUUUUGCUUCUGGAAAUGGGCAUUCAAAGGGUAGCAGCUUGUGAGCAAGACUGAAUUGGUAGAAGGAGGGCUACCUGAAAUGGAGGGACAGUUGUAGCACCAGAUGUAGGUGGUAUGGCUCGUCAUGUGUGUGGUAAACCGAGGUAGUUAGUGGAUGUUUGAGGUGUGUACGUAUGUGCGUCCAUGCGUGUGUUCAUCUGUGUAUUUCCACGUAGCCAAGUUCAGCUAGAUGUAGUUUCCUGCUCUCAUCUAAUGUCUGUGGGGUGGAAAUUGUGUUUAAGCAAGCAGGAAAUCUGGUUGUCCCCAAAUGGCUCCCUAAUAUAUCAACUGCAUUGGAAUAAAUCCAUAUUUUCAAAACAUACCUUAUAACCAAAUGGGCUGUACAGAUUUAAUUGCAUUGAAUUGAUUUGACACAAACAAGAAUUCACAAAGCAAUGACCUUCAAAAGUGCAGCUGACUUACUACAAAACUCUAACCUACAGAAAGUACCAAACAGAAAGUUUCUGAGAAACAGCUAGGGCCCUGCUUAAAUAAAGAUGUUUCUCAUGUUGUUGUAUAGAACAAGACUUUCCCAUGACAUGCCAGUGGCCCAUACGGUUUAUAACAAAGUCUAUUUUAAAUCCUGUAUAAUGCUGAAAUAUUUAAGGGUUGAACUAUAUGAAAGGUGGUAUUUCCUUCAAAAUAACCCAGUGAGUGGUGGGGCUAAAAGGAAACAUGAGUGCAUGAAUGAAAUCAGAACAUGGCAUUAUAGCAGUGGUUCUCAAUCACUCACAAAAUCUCAAAAUCUCAUGUAAUUUUGAACAUGGCAUUUGGCAAUGAUCUUCCUACUUUUGUAUAAUACAAAAGGAAAAGAAGAAUGGUUAACUUUUAAAAUGAUGUAUAACCGGCGCACUUGCAAGCAGGUUCAUAUAAACAUUGUUAAAUGGCGAUGCUGCUGUUUUUGAACAUGGAAUGCGUGUGCAGUUAUCGUAAUGAAGUACCAUGUUAAUUCAAGAUGGGAUGUACCAAAGGUAUAAGAAGGAUGUUUACUUUCCAGUUUCCAGAGGCCCUGCUCCUGUAAGUAGACUAUGAGGAUAAGUAAAACCAGGUGUCAAAAGGAGAAAAUUAACAGUGAGAUGGUCAGUGACCAGGGGCCCCCACUCUGAGUGGUGUUUCACAAGCUGAGGCUAGAGAAGCCUUAACACUGGAAGUGAGUCCUCAAGCCAGGGACGUGGAUUCAUUGCAUGUGAAAUCUGAGGGGCAGCACACUGGGGUGAUUAAGAAUAUGGGCAGACCUUAGCAUCUGACCUUGAUGGGGAGGCCUGGUUCCCCUGAGUGACCUUGGGCAAAUUAAUUUAAUCACACUGAGAAAUUUUGUUUCCCUUCACGUUUGUGAAAACUGGAUUCUCUCUGUAAUGAAAGGAAUAAAGAGCAAAGCUAAAAGAAACAUGAGGGUCGCCUGUGACAAUAAAGCCACAUCUGAAUAGACUUACAGAAGCUCCUAAGCAAUUCAUGAUAGGCUCUAAAGCAUCUAAUGAAAGCUAGAGUAGUCUCCCCUGAAAAAUACAUAUAUGAAUUCAUACAAACAUUUGCAUGUUUGCAUUUAUAUGGAUUGUCACAGAACCCUUAACAUCCAUCCAGGGCACUAGGUCAAGAACCUGGAUUAGAGGCUGCACCAAUCUUGAAGCCAAGGGAUGGAAACAGGUUAAACAUGUUCCUGUCACUGCCACUGCCCUCCUCCUAUCCCCCGACCUAUUUCUCCUGCCUGAGCUGUUCCCUCUACUCUCUGGAUUCUACCCCAUUCUUCAAAGUCCCUCACUUUCAGAAAGCCUUUCUCAGCCAGUGCUAUCUACAGACAUUUCUCCUCUGAUCUCCCAGUAAGCAACUUAUCAGCACUGCUAUUUUGGUCCUUAAUCAUACAUUUUCUUUGGAGGCUUGUCUCCAGACAUGUGUGUGUGUGUUGCCUGUAUGACUAGAUUGCAAGUGACUUGAGAGCAACACAAUUUAUCACACUUCCUGGUGUAUUCUACAAGAACCAUCCAUGUAGAAAACUACUAAACAAACUGAUACCAUGUGUGGUUUGAAGGUAGGUACUCACAAAAUACUCAUUCAAUGAAUGAAGGAAAGAAUCUUUUACUCUUUUCUUUACUCUUUUCCCUAAUAGUUUAGGCUUAGCACUCUUCUCACACUCUGUCUGGAGCCCCCUUCCUCUAGGGCUCCCUGGUAAAUUUGCAUUUAUGUUUUGAAAUCUCAGCUCAGAAUCUUCAGGGACAUCGUCUGUCCCCAGUGUCUACCUCUUUUACCUCCCUCCUCCCCCUGAGAUUCACAGAAUAGCCUCCAGAAGACCUCUGCCAUGUACCACCAGGCAGCACACUCCCCAUGGGUGGUCUGCUCCCUGCCUGGUAGGGACAUAUGAGGUGUACUGGGAACAUGGCACAUGGAGGAACAUGCUUACCUAUGUAUGCAUUUAUUUUAACAUGCAUCUGUAACUGUGGAACUAAUGCAUCAGACCUAGUUCUCAGAGUCUAUUCAUUAGGAUGAGGUUAAGUAAAAAAAAAAAAGAGACAGAAAGUAGGUUUAAAGACAAAUCACGAGUGAGUGAUAGCCCUCUUGCUAUGAUAUUAAAGCAAAAUUUGUAAAGGUGGAGUAUAUUCAUUUAGUCAGUGUCUUUGAACUCCACGCUGGCCUUUGACAAAGGCAGGUUGCUGUGACACAUGUGUCUUCCUGUCCACCUCUUUGCACAGGAGGCAGCUCCCAAAGGGCAGGGACCAGGCCUAACCCAGCUCUGUACCUCCCAGAGCUGGGGCUCAGGGGUGUUGCUGACUGAAGCAAAUCACAAGGGACUGGGCAAGGAAAUUCUGCCUAGCAUCAGCUUUGUCUCCCUCAAAAUAGUAUUUUAUCUGCUCCCUGGAACAGAGGGAAAGCAGGAAGAUGGGAAGGAAGAUCACACCUCCUUUUCCGUAUCACACAUCCCCAAAUGGCCAAAUAGACCAUUAUAGGACCUUAUCCUAAUCUAAUCCCACCAGGUGCCUUUGUUUGCUUAUGUCUUCUUCCCGCAUUUUUUAGACAGCAUGAAAGCCUGCUUAGGCAUGAGCAAAGGGUUUUCUUUGCCUUUAACACAACUAACCCUGGACUCUCAGAGUCUCUUCAUUAUGAAGUCCAGUUUUACACACAGGCUUUGGCUCACUUCAAGGAACAAUGAUUAUUGCCUAGGUAAUCAUGGGUUCCUGAAAGAGAGGAAAAGCAAAACACGAAAACUGCACAGAGGGGAAACUUAGUCAACCAGCACCUGCCAGAAAGACUAAAGGGUGGGAAUGGAGCGGGGCGGUUCCGCUGGACUCUUCCGCAGGGAGGCUACCGAAACUUUCAAAUUCUGAAGGUCUUUGUGUAAGAGGUGAGGGAGUGUGGGGGACCCAGUAAGUAGGGUUGGCUGCCGAACAAAGGAAGGAAAAGGGAAAGGCAAGGACUGCUUCCACUUUUCAAGGUGACACAGUUGAACGAAUCCAAGAUCGGACUGGCUCGAAUCACUGGUGAGUCAUUUUGAGAAAAUCACAAAGGGCCCCUUUCCCCUCCAGUUUCCGCUUUAGGGAUUUCCCAGGCUAAGAGGGCAGCCCAGUUUGAGUCACUGGGUUUAAGAAACUAAGAAAUGAUAACAUGGAACAGAUCAACUAUACGCCGAAGGCCUGUUAACCCUGUGUUUACAAGAAUUCUUUUAACAGUAGUUUAUCUACAAUCAAAUAUAGAUUUUUCUAAGUCUGUUUACUAUGGGCCUUCCACUGUUUAUUUUAUGCUGUAUCUUCCCACUUUGAAUGGUCAGAGGUCUACCUAGAAAAAAAAAAAAGACAUGUCGAAGUCAUAACCAAUUGCUACAUAGUACCAGGUAUAAAAAGGAGCAGCCCACUUUAUGGGGAGUGGUUAGGUAAUUUUAACAGAUAGACUUCAUGGAACAUCAAUUUAAUUUCACUUCUAUUUGAAAGUAAGUUAUCAUUUUUUGAGUGCCUAGUGUAUUCUAGGCACCUAACAUACAUGAUUUCCUUUAUUUCUCCCAAGAAUCCAAUGAGAAAGGCAAAUAUUUCCUUAUUGAGCUUUUAAGGAAACUAAAUCCUGGAAAAGCUAAGGUGGCUGGUCCACACCACAGCUAAUAAGUGUCAGAACCAAGACAAUGAGCCUCAGGUUUUAUCUCUGCCAAAUCAUGUCAUUCUACUUUCCUACAGUCUUUCUAGGAACUCUAUAUAGAGGCAGGACUUAAGUAAAGCAAAGAGGAAUGGGACUUAGUAUAACAGUCAAGUAAAAUAUGAUUUAUCACAAAUAUCCGUAACAUGUGGCGUAUCUCUUGCUAUGAAAAAUUGAACAACGUCACUUCUUCAUUCAUAUGCGCCAGUCAGCCCCCAUGAGUUCCCUUGGGCAAGUACCCUAGGGUCCCCCUAUGUUCAUUCCCCAGACAGAUGUACUCAAACCACACUGACGUCAUAGUAUUUUGUUUCUCGUUGGGAAGGGGGGAAGUGGCCGUUUAUGGGGUAUGCAUUUUUUUUUUAACUAUUUACCUCUUGCUAUUUGUGAGCACCAAGAGCAUAGCAAUCACUCAUUCCCAUGAGGAUCUGAGGUUCUGAAAAGAAAGUUUCGUCAUGAUUGCAGAUUCACUUCUGCCAUUUCUAAUUGUAAUAAUAUCUUUGCUCACUAUGAAAUAAUUGAACAACCAGAGUCAGUAGAGAUGGAAAAAGAGUAAAAGAGCUGAAAUCUCUAAAAGAGAAGAGCAGAGAGAGUAAGUGGAAGGCCAGCCUUCUUUGGCCAGAGUGCCUGACUCUGCCAUACCCAGACCUGGUCGCCGUAAUGGGCCCUCUGAAGUAUUCAUGCCAUUGUGUGGCUUUUAUUUUCUGAGUACUGGUUUCAAUGCUUAAUGAUAAUGCAUGGGGUGCCAUCUUCCCAGAAACAACCUCUUUAUUUGUGGACUGUCUGAAAUUUGUUGCUCAAUUUAGCAACAACAAUAAACAUAAGUACAAGGGCUUAAUGUUUCUUAUUACUGAAGAAGAGAAUAAUGUGCAGUUGCAGGAGCCAGGCCCUGGUGAUGUCUCCUCACCAGUUCUGAUCACGUUAGUCUUGAGAGUCCUCUUGGAGUGUUCGGCCUUGGAAUGUUUAACUUUUGACUCUAUAAUGUGCUGUCACGCAUAAACUUCUAGCCCUGUUUAUCCCCAGGCCAAGUAUCAGGGUAACGACUGACCUUUAGUGAUGUUGUCCAGACCCUCUUAAGCCCCUUCUCCCACUCUGCAGCAUUUUUGCAGGCUGCUGGAAAGCACUGGAGCUGGUCAGGCUUACAAAGAACAAGGAAUCUGCCUCCUCCUUAAAGAUCCUGUUGCAUCAGUAUACUCUCCCUGGGACGUUUUGCAUUGUUUGGAUCUCCCAACUCUCCAAGCAUAAUCCUGGGCCUCUAGUUUACAUUAGAGUUGAACUACACUGAGAUAGGAAGGACACAAAUUGUUAUUUCCAUUUUCGGAUGGGGAAACCAAGACUGACAAGUUAAAAUGAUUUGCCUGGCUUUACAAACCUAAUUGAACAUAAAUGGUCAGACUGGCAGCAGAUGAAAGUCGAGGUUUAAAUACAGAGUGUUUCGGUGGUCAUCAGAGACCCAUUUUCAGGGGAUGGAUAAAGGUGAAGGCUACAUGCUUAAUGUAUUGGGAGGAGCCAGUGAAGGACGUGGCAGCAACACGAGUGUAAUGUGAAGGAGCUGCAGGAGGCCCUCCUGGAGUCACGCGCUGUUAAUGGCCAAGGAAGUAGAAGUAAUUUUUGUCAUAGGUAGUUGAAUGUGAGCUUUUAAGAAUACUAACUCUGACAGCCUAGAGGAAAGACACUUAAAUUUCUCUUUGCCUCAGUUUCCUUAUUUUUCUUAGAAGUACAAAUAAUACCACCUACCUCACAUAGUUGUUUUAUCUGGAAGAAAUUAGAUAGUCUAGAUUAGGAUUUCUCAACAGUGGCAUCACGGACAUCUGGGGCUGGUAAGCGUUUGUCAGGGUGGGAGGCAGGCUGUCCCAGGCAGUGUAAGAUAUUAAGCAUCCUCCCAACCAGAUGUCACUACUACACCCCUACCCAGUCAUGACAGCCGGAAAUGUCUCCAGACAUUGCCAAAUGUCCCUCGCGAGGCCAAACGGUCCCCAGUUAAGAACCACAGAGCUAGGUAAAGGCUUUACUACAGUGAUAGGCAUACAGCAAGUACUUAAAACAUCUUAUUAUAAUUAUUCCCCUAUCUGCUGUUCCUUCCUUUGCAAUAUGACUUUUCUUUGACCUCUUCCAAAUAUCUCUAUGUCUUCCAUCCCAUCACUUGUAUUUAAAACCUCCUCUGAGGAAGGAACCUGACAAACACAUUUACAUUUGGGAGUGUUUUCAUUUUAAUCUGGAUACAACACCCUAAACCAAGGACACUUUCUUGAAAGGGUCAAGUUUAGGCACCAGAGACCUGAGUGAGGCAAAUAUUUUAGGAAAGUUAGUUUUCUAACUUCUCAGAAGACACUACAGAAGUGGUUGUAUAACCUGUCCACUUGUAAGAUGUGAAAAAAUGGUUCCCAAAGUGUGUCUAGAACAUUGGUUCUAAGUGGAUGGGAGUAAGUGUCCUCUUAAUGAGAGGGUUCUGUGAUUCAAUGAAUUUGAAAAAUUCUGGGUAGACCAAAAUUGAACAGAUCUCUUUACUUCUCAGGCCUUCUGAGUCUUUAAGCUGCUGCUACACAUUAUGGUAAUUCAUGAAAAGAUACGGUGUGUAGCCUUUCACAAACUCAUUUCUACAUGGCACAAUUUUGUAGGCCAGGAAUCAGCACACUACAGCCUUGGGCCAAAUCUUGUCUACCACCUAUUUUUAUAAAUAGAAUUUUUUUUACUGGAAUAUAGCCAUAGCACUAAUUUACAUAUUAUUUAUGACUGCUUUCAUAAUAAAUGGUAAUUUGAGUAGUGACAGAGAUGCAAAGCAUACAAAAGCCUAAAUUCUUCACUAUCUGGCUUUUUAAAGAAAAGGUUUGUCAACUCCUAUUACAGGAUGAAAUGGUCUGUGGAAUACACACUGGGAAACGUGAGUUUAGAGAACUUCAAUGUUGGAAGGGGUUGCAAUGGUCACCUGGCCCACCUGUAGCAGUGACCAGAUCCUUCAGUAUCACCUGGGGAGCUUGUUAGAAAUGCAGAUUCCUGAGAUCAUGUCUUGACCUGCUGAACCAGAAUGUGUCGGGGCAAGGCCCAGGAACUGGUGUUUAACCAAACUACCUACUAGUUCAUACACACAGCUAAACUGAAUGCCCCUGAUCUAAUCUGACUGCCAGCCCUGUAACUGAAAUCUUUCCUCAGGUAUCUCUGGCCUCUUUCAUAGCUCCAAUGAUGGGGAACUCAUUAUUUCCCAGUCUGUUCUACUGUUAGUCUGAAAUCAUUAUCAGAAAGUCCUACAUGUUGAACACAAAUAAUGUCCUCUAGGAAUUCUACCUAUUGGCUUCCUUUCCUUCCACUCCCACUUACUGUCACCUAUGGAGUGUAUUUAAGCAAGAAGACAAAGGGCUAAGUUACUGAGAAAAACCUACAUUUUUUCCUUCCCUAGGUCUAGUAUUCCUCAGGAGGCCCUGUCUGGCUGCUCCAGGCAGAAGUAAACACAUCCUGCUCUAUAUUCUCAAAGUGCCUUGACAGUUCCUCUGUUUGGGCAUUCUCUGCAUUUCUGUAAUUUAGUAUUGUAGUAAAAUGCACAGGCAUCUGACAAAAGUCAAAUAAACCUGAGGUCCUAUCUCAGCCAGUCACUUCCUGGUUGUAAACCCUUGGGCAACUUACUUUAGGCCUCCAUUUUCUUUUUAUAUAAGAUACGUAAAUAGCGCCUUCUUGGGGAUAGUGCUGAGGCUUCAGUAUCACAGGUGUGGGGCUUAGCUCAGAGCCCGAUCACAGUAAGUUCUUAAUCAGCAUCAGCAAAGAAGGGGGGAGGUUGCUAUGUCCUCCACGAGGUAUUGAAGUUCUCCAAGGAAAGGACCAGCUAUAACUUAUCUUCUUUUCAAUUCCCAGUGCCCAUCACAUAAUAAAUGCCACAAAGUAAAGAUUUACUGAAGGGAUGAAUAAUCCUGAAAGAGGGCAGAUAAAACAGCGCUCCAGAGCAGUAGGACUGGAGCUCAUCUGCCUAGUUUCAAAUCCCUUUACCACCUGCUGCUUCAUGUGUGGUCUUGAGGAAAGAGCUUGAUUUCUCUAAGUUUUAGUUUACUCCCAGGUAUAGUGAAGUCCCUCCUGUAGUGGCUGUGAAUAUUAAAUGAGAGAAUGCAGACAAAGCACUUAGCACAUAACAGAAGUUAACUAAGGGCUAUAAUAAUUAUUAUUAUUAUUACUAUGUUAUUAUUAAUAAUACCCCCUCAGUAUGCCCCAGUGGUAGCUGGGGUAAGAGGCUUGCCUGGAAAAGAUGUCUUUUCUCAUGGAGAAGUCUUAUCUCAUUUUUUUUCUAUUUCCUAGCCUUAGAUCCUUUGGGAAAUAUAUUGCCAGGGAGACAGCUCGAAAUUUGGGACUAUGCUAACACAGGCCCAUGCAAAUCCACCCUAGAAUUAUGUACAUAGUAAAUCCUGUGGCUAUGCUGAGCUGCACAGCUAACAUUUCCCUCAAUGCCAUAAACCACACACCCCUCAUCAACCCCAACUGCUUGUAUCAUGUUAGGUGCAGAUUUAAUUAAACUCCUAAACAAGGAAACAACAGUACUCAAAGGAGAUGGAGGAAUUUCUUGUGUCCAGACCAAAUAAAGAAGAAACCAUAAAUACCAAGGCUCUGAGACAUCAACAUUUCCACUCAGAAAGCUCUUCUUAGGGAUAAGCCUGCCUCUUUAAUCCCUCAGAGAUUUGUCCUUGAUUACCUCCCUCUGAAUGGAAGCUAACAGCCAAACAUGAGCACCUGGAACUUUUAUCACACCUGCUUCUAAAGAGUAAAUUAAAUGUUGAACGUCCUGCUCUCUCGUCUAGGAGCUGGACACUGUUCUAGCCUCUGGGAGCAAAAGACAGACACACACAAUUCUUGCCCUUAGGGAGCUCAUACUUCAGUGGGGAAAGAUAAGACACUGACCAAAUAAUCACAUCCAUACAUGUAAAAUUUCAAUGAAGAGGGUGAUGGAUUAAGAUUCAGAGUGCUUUGAGAUCAUAUAAUGGUUAUUUGUCUACAAGGAGAAUAGAGAAAUAUUCCAUUGGGAGCUAAUAAAAUCAAUGGAGAUCUGAUGAACAAGCUGGAGCUAUUUAGAGAAAGGACCAUGGAAUUGGGUUGGAGAGUGAUGCUGGGAGAAGAACAGUGCAAAGGCCCUGUGGCAGGAGGGUAGAAGAUAUGUCAAAGGAACUGAAAGGAGGCCUCGCUGACUACAAAAAUUAACUCAAAAGGGAUCAAAGAACCUAAACAUAAAACCUUAAUUUAUGAAACUCUUAGAAAAAAACACAGGGCAAAAGCUUCAUGGCACUGGAUUUAGCAAUGAUUUCUUGGGUAUGACACCAAUAACACAGGUAAUAACCAAACACAGACAAAUUGAAAUUCAUGAAAAUUAGAAAACUGUGUAUCAAAAGAUACUAUCAACAGAAUAAAAAGGCAACCCACAAAAUGGGAGGACAUAGUGGCAAAUCAUAUAUUUGAUAAGGAAUUAAUAUGCAGAGUACAGAGAGAACUUCUAAAAUUCAAGAACAAAAACCCAAUUCAAAAAUGGGCAAAGGACUUGAACAGACACUUCUCCAAAAAAAGAUGCAAAUGACCAAUAAGCAUAUGAAAAGACAGUAUCACUAAUCAUUGGGUAAAUGCAAAUCAAAACUGCAAUGAGAUACUACCUCACACCCAUUAGGAUGACCACUAUUAAAAAAUCAGAAAAUAAGAUGUUGGUGAGACUGUGGAGAAAUCGGACCCUUGUGCACUGUUAGUAGGAAUACAAAAUGGAAAACAGUAUGGCUGUACCUCAGAAAAUUAAGAAAAAGAAUUACCAUACGAUCCAGCAAUUCCACUUCUGGUUAUAUGCCCAAAGGAAUUCAAAGCAGGGCCUUGAAGAGCUAUAUGUACACCCAUGUUUAUAGUAGCAUUAUUCACAACAGUUAAAACAUGGAAGCAACCCAAGUGCCCACUGACAGAUGAAUGUAUGAACAAAUGAAUAUGACGGCUGAAUACUCUUCAGCCUUAAGAAGAACACACGCUACAACAUGGAUGAAAUUUUACAUUAUUCUAAGUAAAAUAAGGCAGCCACAAAAGGACAAAUACUGCAUGAGUCUACUAACUUGAGGUAUUUAGAAGAGUCAAAAUCACAGAAACAAGGAAAUAGAAUGGUGACUGCCAGGGGGUGGGGGAAGAGGAAGUGGGGUGUCACUGUUCAGUGAGUAUAGAGUUUCAGUUUUACAAGAUGGAAAGACUUUUGAGACGGAUGAUGGUGUUGGUAACACAACAUUAUAUAUGUAUUUAGUACCACUGAACUUUAUACUUAAAAAUGAUUAAAAUGGUAAAUUUUAUGUUGUCCAUGUUUUAACACAAUAAAAAAACACUGAGGAAAAAAAUUUGGUACAAACUCAAGGAUUCCCUGUAAAAAGCCACAAAAUAGAGCUUUACCCCCCCAUGCUCUAGUCAAAUGGAAUAUAUAAUUCCAUAAUAAAAAUUUCAGUUGGAAAAGUAACUAUUUGCAGUAGCAGAGAGGGUUUUACACAAGCAUCAGAGUCAGAAGAGAGUGGGUUCAAAUUCCAGCUCACUUACUUCCUGGCAAGUGACGAGCGAUACCUUCAUCCUGACCCUCAGUGUCCUCCUGAGGACAGUGGGAAUGAAUGAUUAACCCUGACCUGCAGGGUUAGAAAGAGAUGAGGUAAGGAUUAAUUGUCAGUCAUGUGUGUAAAUUGCCUGAUGAUGAGCCUAGUCUACAUCUCUGUUAGCUCUUAUCAUCAUCAGUGAAACACCUUCCAGAAAGUACAGACACAACAGAAAGAUAAAGGGUGAUUUCUCUGAAGAUAAGAAAGUUGUGCCAUGUCUCUAUUCCUAGCAGAGUAGAUGAUCAACAAGGGCUGGUGGAUUUAGAAUCAUAGGAGUAAAGCAAAUUCUCAGAAGCCAAAGGAAUGGGCAAAGUGUUUCAGCCUUUUUUUGGAUCAGAGCUGUCAGAAAGAAACAUAUUAUACACUAUGAGUCAGUAAUACACUCUGCUAUUUUUCAUUUUGUUGGAUUCUAUUUCAUUUAAAAAAAAUUAGGGGUCAUGACUCAACCAAAGUGAUUUCCUGAUCUUGAGUCCAUGACCCACAGUUUGUAAAACACCAGGUUACAGACUUCACAUGCAAGUCCUUCCAGGAAGCCUUCCUGGAACACCCUCACCCAGUGGAGGUUGUUCCCACACUUUAAUUUCUUUGGCCUUUAUGAUUCCAGGCUCUGCCUCACCAGGUAUUCAUAUGCUCUUCUCUUGCCUUCCUAGACACAUUCACUGUUGGUGCAUCUACUCUACCCUCCUACCCUACUGCUUCAUUACUUUAGUCCAACAUACAUCAUUUAAGAAGCUGGGACAGUUUAAUAUAUAUUUAUGGUGGUGGAGGUAGGGGCAGGUGGCUGGGGAAACUAGCAUGUAUUCCAAUUCACCUGCAUUGGCUGAGCACUGGCUCUGCGCCUUACACUAUGCAAAGCCUAGGAAGAGCGUGAGGCUUCUCCAGAGUUCCAAGUCCUUGAGGUUGGGCAUCAGUUCAGACAGUGGGAGCAGAGCACACAACCUUCAGUGUAAAGCCUCUGAGGGCUCCUGCAGAGUCUGGUAAGAUCAGACCUUUACCCUGUCCGAAAGACACUUCCUUAGCAAUAGAACAAGGCUCUAUCAUCUAAAGACAGAGGAAUGGCACAAAUCUCCUUGCCAGGCUCAACUUUGUGGAAAAAAAGAUUUCCACUGGAAGUUCUCCCUCAAGGAGAACUCCCUCCCUCGGUGAAAUGCACCGAGAAUUAGAUAGCAACUCUAUGCAGAUGCUUAAUCCAGCAGGCUAGAAAAGAAAUCGGUCUAUUUCCACUUCACUCUUUAGGCUUAGAAUGGACAUUCAGGACCGAAGCAGCUGAGAAACCAACCUGUUGGAGUGGAAAAUAGCGGGCUUGCCUGGAGGCAGACAGCACCACAUUCCCAUUUUGCCUCUACCUGCUGGCAAGCUGUUUGACUGUGAACAUGUUUCUUUACUUCUCCGAGCCUUUCUUUCCUCACCAUAAAAUGGACCAACAGUAAUGCCUACGGAAUGGGUUGUUGGAACAUUAAAUGAAAUAAUGCAUAUGAAGCCCCCAGUACAGUCCCAGGCAAAUCAUAAGUCUUUAAUAAAUGUGAACCAGAGUUAUUAUUUUUCAACACUCAAAACAGUAUAAUUGAGGGGAAAGAGGCAGUUACCUAAAACAGUUUUCUUCCAUCAAGGCAAAGGGCAUAGUUUCCUAGUGAGAAAAUGUGGGUAAAGUAGGUCGUGAAUUCUCCUCCUAGAACAGCAAAAGACUGUAUCGCAGGAGCCUUUGUGUUAUGCUAAUGUGUAAAUACUACUGAGCUGAGGAUCACUUAUUAGCACUGCAGAAACAGUCAUUUGCCUCCUGAGCCUGCAGCUUUGGAGAAGGAUGCCUCUGGGCUCAGAAGACUUCAGGCAGCAGCAGAGCUUCUAGGGAGCCAGUUCUGGUAGCUUGCUACUCUCUGGCGGCCUUAGGUGUCUGCGCCCUCCUCCCCUGGCUGUCCCACACAAGCUGCACGCCCUCCCUGCUCCUCUGGGAAGGCACACCUCUGGGCCACUGUCUGUUCCAACGCUGACCGCAUCCCAAGGCCUUCGUCCUCCACGGAGCUGUCCCUGAGAACUCUCGCUUGUAGCGAUCUUUCCUUUCUCUGAGAUCUCACAGUGAAAAUUUAACAUCUAUUGCAGGGCUAUCCAACAAAAAUACAAGGUGAGUCAGAUACAUAAUUCUUCUUCCUAAGAGCCACAUUAAAGAAAGAAAAGGAAAUAGGUGAACUUGAUUUUAAGAAUGUGUUUUGAAGUCUGGUAUGUAUUUUAUACUUCCAGCACAUUUCAAUUUGGACCAGCCCCAUUUCCUGUGCUCAGCAGCCACAUGUAGCUAGGGGAUUUUGGAGACUUAGAAAAACUAACUAACUAACUAACUAACUAAUUAAUUAAUUAUCAUUACUAUGUUUUUUCAUAUUGAUUACAUGUUGAAAUGGCAGUAUUUUGGAUACAUUGGACUAGAUAAAAUAUAUCAUUUUUCUUGGACACUCUCUGGCUCUCAGGGGCCCUUCCACCAGAAAGCAAAGACCUUAGCCCCCAAGCCCCAGCUCUUUUUCCUUGAACUUCCCACAGCAGGGUCUGCCUCCAGGGCUAACAGGCAAGUGGAUGGAGAGAAAAAAAAAUCUACAGUUAUUCCCUCAACUCUUUAAACCACAGUCUGAGUCAUAGUAUUCUCUGGUCAGAGAAAAGAUUUCCCUUCACACGGGGUUUUAGGAGCUUGCCUAAACUCUGCUGCUGUUUGCAUCAGCUAGGAGAGCAGGUUCCAGGACAGAAGUUUGCCUAUGGGCUGGGGUAGGAGAGGAAGAAAAAACACAGGGGAUGCGCCCACUCUCUCUGUCCUUUAGGGUCCCUAUCCACAUUCCUUGGACCAGAGCAGGGGCUUUUCUUGGGGCUUUUUCUGUGCCCUUGUGUGUUUGAGGAGACAUGUCAUCUUUGAACCCUGGCUAGAAGAAGUGGGAGUAAAAACCCCAGGAAACUCACAGUCUCAAGUUUACUUAGAGCUCAAGUUUCCUUUCCCAAUUCACCUGCUCCUGCUUACUUUUCAGAGUCCUCAGAUAGACGUUCUAUGUCUUUUAUCCUGGGUUUUGGUUGCACUCAGAGGCAGAAACAAGCUGGAGUGUGCUUACUCCAUCUUAAACAGGACCAGAAUCUUCAGGAAACAUUUCUUCCUUCCCGUGUGUUAUACUGCAUUCAACCUCUGUGACACUUGUCAUCCACAAAUGGCAUCAGGAGAAACUUCAGAGUGGAUUAAUUAGGAUUCCAUAUUCCUAGACCAUGCCAAGUAUCCAUUAGAUUCACAUACUUUGAAUGGAACAGAACUGGCUUUUUGCAUUGAGAACAGACACAGGGAUUUCAACACUUGUCCUUAAGUCUUGAAUGAACUAAGAAAAAUAGUUGACUUAUUUCUUUGUGAAAAGUUUAACGUCUACAUUAUUGACUGUCACAUAUGCAUUUAAUUAGGGAAUGUAUAUUGCCUCCAUGUUUUCAACCACAUUUUUGUAAACACCUGACUUGAUAAGGCAGCUAUGGGUUUUAUUUAUUUGGAAUCUCUGAUCUUCACUCAUAGGAGCCUUAUGUUUCCUUUUAUGGUAGACAAUAGAUUUUGAAAUAAGUAAUUAUGUGUUACUGCCGAGAAGUACAUCCAUUUAUACAGGCCAACUUAUUGCCAAAGUUAUUGUCCAUUUAACCAUAAAGGAAGUGAUCCACACCUCAAAAAAAUCAUUAGAGGGACACUCAUUACUUUGGACACAUUAUGUGCCCAAAUAAUUCACAUAGCUGAUAAUGCACUGUUAAGAUGAGCUAAAUUCCAGAAAAUGUGAAAUAAUUUGAUGGUUAAGAACAUUAGAAAAAAAAAAAAGAACAUUAGAAAAAAACAGUUAUUGGAAAUGAUAAUGUGGAUAUUUGCAUAGUAAUAUGUACUGCACAAAAUGUUUUUAUUCAAUUGAUUAUUCAUUCUUAUAGUCAUCAUUUAUGGUCUAUUAUGUGUCAUCAGUUUGCUACACCCUCAUAACUCAUAAUUUGUGAGUAACCUUAGGUGUGUUCUGCUUUCAACCAAACCUUAUACAUAAAAGUCUGAACUGACAGAACAGAUAUAGUGAGAGCUAUACAAAUAGAAGUUGUUGACUUUUCAAAAGAACAAUGAACUUCAAAAUGUUUCCAUUUACAAACAUUAAGGCUACACAUAUUUUGCGGGACUGUAGACUCUAAGUAUUAUAAGGGGCAAAAGGCAUGGGCUGUGGACUCAGAAAUGCUUAGCUUUAAAUCCUUGAAAUUAAAUUAACCCUCAGCGUUGUCAUCUGUAACUUUUGGAAGAUAACAGUACCUAUGUCAAAGGACGUGAGCUCAAGUGUGCCUGAUACAAUGCAGCUCAAGUUCACAGCACAGUCAAGCACACGGUGAGCUCCCACCAGCUAUAUAACUACUAGGUAAAAUAAAAUGAAUUACUUCUCAAGAGUUGAAAUAAUAUAAAUAUAAACACAUGAGUUUGUUCUAUUAUCUGUAAUGGUUCAGAAGAGUGAUUAUAUGUAUGAAUAAACUUGAUAGGGAAUAUGCCAGCCUCAAAUAUUUGAAUUUUCAUUUCACAAUUCCUAUCUCAAAUGAAAUAACUUUAAUACUCAUCUUAUUUUCUUGGACUAUUUUUAUCUUUAUCACUUAUUAAGAUUAAGCACCCCCACAAGGUGUGUUUUGAGGAUCUACAGAACCCAUGUGAGACAUAAUCUGGCUCUCUCAGAGUUUACCUGCAGAAAAAGACAAGAUGUACUUUAAAAGAUUAUCUUCAGGAAUGAGGAUUAUUUGUGUUGCUAAACUCUGUGCCAGCAAGAGAGCAGGUUCAUUCAUUCCUCUCUUCAUGUCUUGCUCACUGGGUGGUGGUUUUAAUGAAAUAAAAAUACUUAACCACCUUCUUGUGCUUUCAAGAGGGGCUGUUGAGCCUUUCACUAGAGUGAGCAGAAAGCAAAGCCGAGAUGUCAUCAUCAUACUGAGAGAGUCUGGGAAGUUCAUAACCACUGAAACAGUAAUAUCAUUCAUUAGGUACCAGCUGAGAGGUGGAUUUUCUGCUAGGUGUUUUCACAUUCAAUCCAUACAAUAAGGCUAUUUAUUACCUUCAUUUCACCUCUGUAAUCAAUGAGGCUUAGAAGUGCUUAGACGAGCCCCAGUUGAAACCCAGGAGUGUCUACAUUUUUAAUAUAUUAUUCCUUAGCUCAGCUCAAGCACACAUAAUAU
Manis pentadactyla (Chinese pangolin) is the source of this 20259-nucleotide RNA transcript. RefSeq lists it as uncharacterized. NCBI's taxonomy places the organism in Eukaryota, Metazoa, Chordata, Mammalia, Pholidota, Manidae. The transcript is spliced from 4 exons. The record is from RefSeq and is a predicted model, not a curated record.